Molecule: ribosomal RNA, 503 nt
Filed under: uncultured bacterium
Lineage: Bacteria
Description: partial 16S ribosomal RNA
Rfam family: Bacterial small subunit ribosomal RNA
Source: RNAcentral
AUUGAACGCUGGCGGCAGGCUUAACACAUGCAAGUCGAGCGGGGUGAUGGUGCUUGCACUAUCACUUAGCGGCGGACGGGUGAGUAAUGCUUAGGAAUCUGCCUAUUAGUGGGGGACAACAUCUCGAAAGGGAUGCUAAUACCGCAUACGUCCUACGGGAGAAAGCAGGGGAUCACUUGUGACCUUGCGCUAAUAGAUGAGCCUAAGUCGGAUUAGCUAGUUGGUGGGGUAAAGGCCUACCAAGGCGACGAUCUGUAGGGGGUCUGAGAGGAUGAUCCGCCAAACUGGGACUGGCACACGGCCCAGACUCCUACGGGAGGCAGCAGUGGGGAAUAUUGGACAAUGGGGGGAACCCUGAUCCAGGCAUGCCGCGUGUGUGAAGAAGGCCUUAUGGGUGUAAAGCACUUUGAGCGAGGAGGAGGCUCUUUUGGUUAAUACCCAAGAUGAGUGGACGUUACUCGCAGAAUAAGCACCGGCUAACUCUGUGCCAGCCGCCGCGGUAA